This 839-nucleotide ribosomal RNA is filed under the name Hypogymnia alpina. RNAcentral describes it as "LSU rRNA". It matches the Rfam family "Eukaryotic large subunit ribosomal RNA", at positions 92 to 948 of the family's 3401-position model. The record is from RNAcentral. Lineage: Eukaryota; Fungi; Ascomycota; Lecanoromycetes; Lecanorales; Parmeliaceae.
AGUGAAGCGGCAACAGCUCAAAUUUGGAAUCUGGCCCUUUCGGGGUCCGAGUUGUAAUUUAUAGAGAGUGUUUCGGGCGAGAUCACGGUCUAAGUUCAUUGGAACAUGGCGUCAUAGAGGGUGAGAAUCCCGUAUGUGACUGUGGAUUGAGCCCAUGUGAAGCCUCUUCGAUGAGUCGAGUUGUUUGGGAAUGCAGCUCAAAAUGGGUGGUAAAUUUCAUCUAAAGCUAAAUACUGGCUGGAGACCGAUAGCGCACAAGUAGAGUGAUCGAAAGAUGAAAAGCACUUUGGAAAGAGAGUCAAAAAGUACGUGAAAUUGUUGAAAGGGAAGCGCUUGCAACCAGACCUGCCCGUAGGUGAUCAGCCGCUGUUCUCAGUGGUGCACUCGCUCUGCGAUCAGGCCAGCAUCGGUUCGGGCGGUCGGAUAAAGGCCUUGGGAAUGUAGCUUCCUUUGGGGAGUUUUAUAGCCCUCGGUGCAAUGCGGCCAGCCGGGACCGAGGACCGCGCUUCGGCUAGGAUGCUGGCGUAAUGGUUGUAAGCGACCCGUCUUGAAACACGGACCAAGGAGUCUAACAUCUAUGCGAGUGUUUGGGUGUUAAACCCUUGCGCGGAAUGAAAGUGAACGGAGGUGAGAACCCAUAAGGGCGCAUCAUCGACCGAUCCAGAUGUCUUCGGAUGGAUUUGAGUAUGAGCAUAGCUGUUGGGACCCGAAAGAUGGUGAACUAUGCCUGAAUAGGGUGAAGCCAGAGGAAACUCUGGUGGAGGCUCGCAGCGGUUCUGACGUGCAAAUCGAUCGUCAAAUUUGGGUAUAGGGGCGAAAGACUAAUCGAACCAUCUGUU